UUAAAUUGAAGAGUUUGAUCAUGGCUCAGAUUGAACGCUGGCGGCAGGACUAACACAUGCAAGUCG
Molecule: ribosomal RNA, 66 nt
Filed under: Escherichia coli O145:NM str. 2010C-3510
Lineage: Bacteria; Pseudomonadati; Pseudomonadota; Gammaproteobacteria; Enterobacterales; Enterobacteriaceae
Description: partial 16S ribosomal RNA
Rfam family: Bacterial small subunit ribosomal RNA
Source: RNAcentral